This 497-nucleotide ribosomal RNA is filed under the name uncultured bacterium. RNAcentral's name for it is "partial 16S ribosomal RNA". It matches the Rfam family "Bacterial small subunit ribosomal RNA", at positions 28 to 507 of the family's 1533-position model. The record is from RNAcentral.
GAUGAACGCUGGCGGCGUGCCUAAUACAUGCAAGUCGAGCGAACAGACGAGGAGCUUGCUCCUCUGACGUUAGCGGCGGACGGGGGAGUAAAACGUGGAUAACCUACCUAUAAGACUGGGAUAACUUCGGGAAACCGGAGCUAAUACCGGAUAACAUGUUGAACCGCAUGGUUCAACAGUGAAAGACGGUCUUGCUGUCACUUAUAGAUGGAUCCGCGCCGCAUUAGCUAGUUGGUAAGGUAACGGCUUACCAAGGCAACGAUGCGUAGCCGACCUGAGAGGGUGAUCGGCCACACUGGAACUGAGACACGGUCCAGACUCCUACGGGAGGCAGCAGUAGGGAAUCUUCCGCAAUGGGCGAAAGCCUGACGGAGCAACGCCGCGUGAGUGAAGAAGGUCUUCGGAUCGUAAAACUCUGUUAUUAGGGAAGAACAAAUGUGUAAGUAACUAUGCACGUCUUGACGGUACCUAAUCAGAAAGCCACGGCUAACUACGUG